ACAAUUCUAGCAUGAAUAAUAAACAUUUAUCAUGAUAUAAGGAAAUAAAUAAUAACUUUAUUAUUGCCUCUAGGGCAUAUUUCCUUCAACAGGUAGUGUUUGUUCAAAUUUUUGAAUGUCUGUUUCUUAAAUGCAUAAAACCUACAUUAACCUGGAGAUUCUUUCACAACUACAUCCACAAGAAUAGUGUUCGGGUUUUUAGGUAAUAAAGUGUUGAGCAUUAACAUAGAUACAAAAGCUCAUAAGAUCAGAACUUCACAUAGUACAUGAAGUUUUCUGAGAGAGUCAUGCAUAGCAGAGAGGGUUGACAAUUUUCUGAACAUGUCCUGGGGAAAGACAGAUUUAGGAUUUUAGGGCAACGUGGUUGUUGAUCUGAACCUCAACAGGGCAUCUAAUGAAAGAAGCAUACCUGAUGACUCCUUGCUUCCACUUGAAGAUUCAGAAUCACUCUUAAAAUCAUGGGUAAGUUUUCCUUCAACAUGCACAUCUUGAUCCACAUGUCUUCAUGAUACCAAUACAGGUUGAGCGGGUUUAACUAGCACCGCAGUAGCUGAU
RNAcentral lists this long non-coding RNA (555 nucleotides) under Triticum aestivum (bread wheat). RNAcentral describes it as "long non-coding RNA (TAES_LNC019601)". The record is from RNAcentral. Lineage: Eukaryota; Viridiplantae; Streptophyta; Magnoliopsida; Poales; Poaceae.